Molecule: non-coding RNA, 73 nt
Organism: Paramuricea clavata
Lineage: Eukaryota; Metazoa; Cnidaria; Anthozoa; Malacalcyonacea; Plexauridae
Source: the annotation of a GenBank genome assembly
GACCACGUAGCUCAGUUGGCAGAGCAUUGGGCUAGUAUUCCAAAGGUCGUAGGUUCGAAUCCCACCGUGGCCG